Molecule: ribosomal RNA, 254 nt
Filed under: uncultured bacterium
Lineage: Bacteria
Description: partial 16S ribosomal RNA
Rfam family: Bacterial small subunit ribosomal RNA
Source: RNAcentral
UACGAAGGGGGCUAGCGUUGCUCGGAAUCACUGGGCGUAAAGGGUGCGUAGGCGGGUCUUUAAGUCAGGGGUGAAAUCCUGGAGCUCAACUCCAGAACUGCCUUUGAUACUGAGGAGCUUGGAGUCCGGGAGAGGUGAGUGGAACUGCGAGUGUAGAGGUGAAAUUCGUAGAUAUUCGCAAGAACACCAGUGGCGAAGGCGGCUCACUGGCCCGGUACUGACGCUGAGGUGCGAAAGCGUGGGGAGCAAACAGG